Long non-coding RNA from Canis lupus familiaris (dog), 653 nucleotides. RefSeq lists it as uncharacterized. Lineage: Eukaryota; Metazoa; Chordata; Mammalia; Carnivora; Canidae. The record is from RefSeq and is a predicted model, not a curated record. The transcript is spliced from 3 exons.
GGAGGAGCCGCGGGGCGGUGGGCCGCAGCCCCCGGGCGGGAGUAGGCGGUUCCCCUGGGGCUUGGCGCUCCAGGGGCGACGUGAGGAGCUGAGUUGGUUAGUUGGGUGAGGAGGCUUUCACGGUGUUCUGCACGCGGCUGCCUUUGGAGUUUGCUAAAACGAUGGUGGAGAAAUUUCGGGUAGUGUCAGGCCACAGGAGCUGUUGGAAGCGCGGUGCCUCUUUAAUGCACCUGAGCUCUUCUUGAAGCAAACAAGCAGGCGGGAAGCAGUGUGCGUCCCUCUCCAGCGCUCCGGUUAAGAAAGAGGCACAAGUUUCUGGAGUGAUCCUGAGGAGAACUUUUGGGUGUCUUCAAGAACUCGCCAGGUGGAUAGCAAGGCUCUUCGUUCCAGCUUCACUUUUGAACAGAUGGCUCUCCUGUGCGUCAGAUGGAAGAACUCCUAGAGCUGUCCUCCUGUUCGGCAGCCCCUAUUAAGCUUGGUUCUGGCACCCACAUAGAACGCAGGUGGCGAGAGGUGGAGGCAGGCACAGAGAAGAGUUUGAUCCUCUUGAAGUAGAUGACUACCAGAUUUGUAGUCCAGCCUCAAUACCUCUCCCAGAACAGAACAUGAGAGACUCCUAACUCUGGGAAAUGAACUAGGGGUGGUGGAAGGGG